CCUGCCCAGUGAAUUAAUUUAACGGCCGCGGUAUCUUGACCGUGCAAAGGUAGCAUAAUCAAUUGUUCUUUAAAUAAGGACUAGUAUGAACGGCAUCACGAGGGUUUAACUGUCUCCCUAUUUUAAUCAAUGAAAUUGAUCCCCCCGUGAAGAAGCGGGGAUAAAACUAUAAGACGAAAAGACCCCAUGGAGCUUUUAAACUUUAUUUUCAAUUACCAAAACCAAAACAUACACCUGGUAAAAAUGAUAAUCGUUUUCGGUUGGGGCGACCAUGGAGAAAAAUAAAUCCUCCAAGCUGAAUAGAUUAAAAUCUAAUAUUAGAGCAACAACUCAAACAAUCAAAACCUUGACAAAAUGACCCAGAAUCCAUCUGAUCAACGAACCAAGUUACCCUGGGGAUAACAGCGCAAUCCAUUUCAAGAGCCCUUAUCGACAAAUGGGUUUACGACCUCGAUGUUGGAUCGGGGUAUCCUAGCAG
This 478-nucleotide ribosomal RNA is filed under the name Hyperolius hutsebauti. Its description in RNAcentral is "partial 16S ribosomal RNA". It matches the Rfam family "Bacterial large subunit ribosomal RNA", at positions 1858 to 2553 of the family's 2925-position model. Lineage: Eukaryota; Metazoa; Chordata; Amphibia; Anura; Hyperoliidae. The record is from RNAcentral.